This 347-nucleotide ribosomal RNA is filed under the name uncultured bacterium. RNAcentral describes it as "partial 16S ribosomal RNA". It matches the Rfam family "Bacterial small subunit ribosomal RNA", at positions 338 to 683 of the family's 1533-position model. The record is from RNAcentral.
CCUACGGGAGGCAGCAGUGAGGAAUAUUGGUCAAUGGGCGAGAGCCUGAACCAGCCAAGUCGCGUGAGGGAAGACGGUCCUAUGGAUUGUAAACCUCUUUUGCCGGGGAGCAAAAAGCGGUACGUGUACCGCAUCGAGAGUACACGGAGAAAAAGCAUCGGCUAGCUCCGGGCCAGCAGCCGCGGUAAUAAGGAGGAUGCGAGCGGUAUCCGGUUGUCUUGGGGUGAAAGGGUGAGAAAGCGGCGAGUUAAGUCAGCGGGAAAAUUUCGGGGCUUAACCCCGAAGAGCCGUUGAAACUGGCUUGCUAGAGUGGGCGAGAGGUAUGCGGAAUGCGUGGUGGAGCGGUG